This 418-nucleotide ribosomal RNA is filed under the name uncultured bacterium. Its description in RNAcentral is "bacterial SSU rRNA". It matches the Rfam family "Bacterial small subunit ribosomal RNA", at positions 358 to 773 of the family's 1533-position model. The record is from RNAcentral.
GGAAUAUUGGUCAAUGGAGGCAACUCUGAACCAGCCAUGCCGCGUGCAGGAAGACAGCCCUCUGGGUCGUAAACUGCUUUUAUUCGGGAACAAACCUACUUACGUGUAAGUAGCUGAAUGUACCGACGGAAUAAGGACCGGCUAACUCCGUGCCAGCAGCCGCGGUAAUACGGAGGAUUCAAGCGUUAUCCGGAUUUAUUGGGUUUAAAGGGUGCGUAGGCGGCUUAAUAAGUCAGGGGUGAAAGACGGUGGCUCAACCAUCGCAGUGCCCUUGAUACUGAUGAGCUUGAAUACACUAGAGGUAGGCGGAAUGUGACAAGUAGCGGUGAAAUGCAUAGAUAUGUCACAGAACACCGAUUGCGAAGGCAGCUUACUAUGGUGUCAUUGACGCUGAGGCACGAAAGCGUGGGGAUCAAAC